Drosophila pseudoobscura is the source of this 2301-nucleotide long non-coding RNA. RefSeq lists it as uncharacterized. NCBI's taxonomy places the organism in Eukaryota, Metazoa, Arthropoda, Insecta, Diptera, Drosophilidae. The record is from RefSeq and is a predicted model, not a curated record. The transcript has 3 exons.
UAUACAAAUCAUGCGGGAUUAUUGUUGGUAGAGAAAUCGAGCGCAUAGCGGAGAUUGUAAGUGGGAGAGAGUGGAACAGAGAGUACAGUGAGCACAGGGCGGAGAGUGACAAGAGAAGAGUGUGAAUGAAUGGAGCGUGGGGAAUUAAAGGGAAGCAGCACAAAGUGGGGGCGUUGCGUUGCGCUGGCGGAUGCUGUCAAGAUUCUCUGAUAAAAAUCAAUGCAAAAUAAAUUAAACAGUCGGCGGGUGGGAGGGGCAGAAAGAAGCGCGAGAAGCAGCACCAGCAGAAGCGAGUAGAGAGAAAGUAAAAGCAUGGCACAUUUGUUGCUGAGCAUUAUUAAAUUAACCAAAGGGAAGAGAGAGAUAACAGGCGUCUCUCUCCCAGCAUUGAAAAAACACUAAAGCAAGUUUUAAGACUAUUUUAUAUUCUUCUUUCGCUUCCAUUGUUUUUGUAGAGAGACUUACGGAGCAAAGUGCACAGUAGCACACAAGAAAGACACUUUUCGAAACAAUUCAAGAGCCUUAACUUAAAUUAUUGAUGACAAUUCAAAGCGAAUAUCCAAAACUGCCAUAUCGUAGAGUUCAGGGGCAAAAACGCAGCAGCUGGCAACGCGGUAAAACAACUCACCCACAUACGGAAAUUGCUAGCAAAUAUUAAAUAUGUACAGUACUUUAAAACUUAACGCCGGCCUCUUGGCCUUCGACCCGUCCGCGGAAAAUUCAAUAAAAUAUAAAACAACGUUCCAGCUUGGUUUCAGGAAAUUACGGUACCCACACUGCUGCCGCUGGCGCUGCUUUGGUCUUGAAACAGCUGACGAUGCGUCAUUCACACAAGUACCGUACCCACACAAUCAUCCACAUGGGACUCGGACACAGAAGAGAGAAAGAACAAGCGGUAAAGUGUAGAGAAGAGAGACAUAAACACGCACUUAGGACACAGCAAUGGUCAACGAAUUAGGAUCAGAAGCGGGAGUUUUACUGCAGAAAAUAAAAGUCCUAUUCGAAUAUAGUUCCAUUAGGCAAUAUGAAUCAUUUAGUUGAUUGACUUGCUUUCAUAAAUGGUCAAAAAUAUGUAUAAAUGAGAACGAAUGAAACGAUCAAAUAACAGAAUUGUAAGUUAGCACAUCAAACUAAACUAUUGCAGUUAAAAAAUUCUAGAAAAGUAUUUAUAUUGAAGACCUAGUUGUCUGCCCUCGACAGUAAGAUUGUCUCACUUUAAAGUCAACAAGUGCAAUUUUCUCAGCACGCAUAACGGACGUCCAUAAAAAGAAGAAUAGGAAUACAAUUAGCAGCCAACAUAUCGUUCUCAAUUACACAAAUGCAAAUUUAGCAAAAUAACACACAAAUAUAAACAAAAUGGAAAUUGAGAAAAAAUUAUGCGAUUUUGUUUACAUUUCGGCUCCAAGGGAAAUAUUUUGUGGAAAAAGUAAUCCAGCCUCACGGAGUAUGGAGGAGGAAGAGAGGGGUCGUGCAGUGACUGGCACGAUAAGAAACGGAUUGCAGAUAAAUACACACAAACACACACACACUGUAAUUAAGACGCAAAACCAAGUAGAACAAAGAACAAGCAAUUUCCAUUGCCUGGAGCGGGAAAGAGUACAUAUUAUUCGACAGAUAAUGAGACCCCGGAUCAGCUGCCUCUCCUACACCUGUGUUGCACUGGCUUUAUAGUCGCGAAAAUGGGAAACUGAUUUAUUGCGCUAUUGUCAACCACUGUGCACGCUGCAGUUGGAGCAGCAGCAGUGCAUAGUGCCAUCUCGCUUCGCCACACACGCUCGAAUAAAACGCACCCAAAAAUUCAUGGCCGUCUAUCUCACUCGCUCUCAUUGCUUUCUAUCCUCUGCUCGGCUAUCGAUGACGAUAAUAAUGGUGGAAAAAAAUUUUACACAACUUUCUUAAUUAAUGGGAAACAACAACGCAAUAUUGGGCUACAACACUUGAUUCUCAUAUUGUCACACACAUUGCUAUUGCGAGAAUCGAUUUAUGCACGUUUAUUCCUGCCUUUUCCAGCAGGGCACUUUGUUUUUAGACAGAUUAUUGAAACACUCUCUCCCCACCCAGUCACCAACAAACGCACGCAGACAGAGACGGGAAGCGAUUGACUUUUGAGUUCCCAGUGUCCGAGUCUUGUUUUUGUCAUUUUCGCAGGAGACGUCAUCGUUACUUGCACUUUAUGUCUAUCCCAGGUGCAGCUUGUGUUUUUUAUUGCGUUUAUCACUGUUUUUGCAAUUAGUUUGCCCAGGUUAUUGUUAAAACUUACAAUUCUUUUUAUCCACGAAAAUGGACUUAUCGAUAAAAUAA